Drosophila grimshawi is the source of this 461-nucleotide long non-coding RNA. RefSeq lists it as uncharacterized. The transcript is spliced from 4 exons. NCBI's taxonomy places the organism in Eukaryota, Metazoa, Arthropoda, Insecta, Diptera, Drosophilidae. The record is from RefSeq and is a predicted model, not a curated record.
UUUGAGUUUUAAUACAAAAAAAGAGAUUGAAUUGAAACUAGUGCAAUUGUCAAACUUCAUUCAAAUUGGCGCUCGUAAAAUUGGCUUCUUUAUUUGACCAGCAUUUGGCUUUGGCCGUUGAGCAUCGCAUAUGGUCGGUUAAGCAAAACAUUUUUGCAAUCGAAUGGAGCGCAGCUGAAUCAAGUUUUCAAUUCAAAUAUGCAGUUGAAUGACCACAAGGCCAAAAGCGAGAGGCUGCCACGAAACCAGAAGAAUGCUGAAAAGCCCAAUUGCAAAAUGUUGAAUCAUUGAAAUUUAAAACCAAAGUUCUAAAACACACAAAGGCCAGCAAAUCAGAGAAAAGCAUAAAAGUGUAAAGCAAAGUGCAAAGGAAAUGAAAUUGUAAACAAGAAAAGUACGCAAAAAACAACAGCAAAAAAAAUACAUAUAUAUAUAUACAUAUAUAUAUAUAUAUAUUAAAC